RNAcentral lists this ribosomal RNA (119 nucleotides) under Helianthus annuus (common sunflower). Lineage: Eukaryota; Viridiplantae; Streptophyta; Magnoliopsida; Asterales; Asteraceae. The record is from RNAcentral.
GGUUGCGAUCAUACCAGCACUAAUGCAUUGGAUCUCAUCAUAACUCCGCAGUUAAGCGUGCUUGGGCGAGAGUAGUACUAGGAGGGGUGACCCCCUGGGAAGUCCUCGUGUUGCAACCC